RNAcentral lists this ribosomal RNA (164 nucleotides) under Sphinctospermum constrictum. RNAcentral's name for it is "5.8S ribosomal RNA". It matches the Rfam family "5.8S ribosomal RNA". From Rfam's summary of the family: 5.8S ribosomal RNA (5.8S rRNA) is a component of the large subunit of the eukaryotic ribosome. Lineage: Eukaryota; Viridiplantae; Streptophyta; Magnoliopsida; Fabales; Fabaceae. The record is from RNAcentral.
UACAAUGACUCUCGGCAACGGAUAUCUCGGCUCUUGCAUCGAUGAAGAACGUAGCGAAAUGCGAUACUUGGUGUGAAUUGCAGAAUCCCGUGAACCAUCGAGUCUUUGAACGCAAGUUGCGCCCGAAGCCAUUAGGCUGAGGGCACGCCUGCCUGGGUGUCACA